This 604-nucleotide ribosomal RNA is filed under the name Azospirillum brasilense. Its description in RNAcentral is "bacterial SSU rRNA". It matches the Rfam family "Bacterial small subunit ribosomal RNA", at positions 115 to 756 of the family's 1533-position model. Lineage: Bacteria; Pseudomonadati; Pseudomonadota; Alphaproteobacteria; Rhodospirillales; Azospirillaceae. The record is from RNAcentral.
ACGUGGGAACCUGCCUUUCGGUUCGGGAUAACGUCUGGAAACGGACGCUAACACCGGAUACGUCCUUCGGGAGAAAGUUUACGCCGAGAGAGGGGCCCGCGUCCGAUUAGGUAGUUGGUGGGGUAAUGGCCCACCAAGCCGACGAUCGGUAGCUGGUCUGAGAGGAUGAUCAGCCACACUGGGACUGAGACACGGCCCAGACUCCUACGGGAGGCAGCAGUGGGGAAUAUUGGACAAUGGGGGCAACCCUGAUCCAGCAAUGCCGCGUGAGUGAUGAAGGCCUUAGGGUUGUAAAGCUCUUUCGCACGCGACGAUGAUGACGGUAGCGUGAGAAGAAGCCCCGGCUAACUUCGUGCCAGCAGCCGCGGUAAUACGAAGGGGGCGAGCGUUGUUCGGAAUUACUGGGCGUAAAGGGCGCGUAGGCGGCCUGUUUAGUCAGAAGUGAAAGCCCCGGGCUUAACCUGGGAACGGCUUUUGAUACUGGCAGGCUUGAGUUCCGGAGAGGAUGGUGGAAUUCCCAGUGUAGAGGUGAAAUUCGUAGAUAUUGGGAAGAACACCGGUGGCGAAGGCGGCCAUCUGGACGGACACUGACGCUGAGGCGCGA